GUAGGUGAACCUGCGGAAGGAUCAUUGCAAAUCGAGAGGGGGUAGGUGUGGGGGAGAGAGCGUGAGAUGGAAGGGUGCGGAGAGGAUGGCGUGCUGCGUGGUUUACUGCGCGGUGCUGCCUGCUCGCUGCGUGCUCUCUCAUCAUACACUGCUCUGCCACGCCCGCCGCCGACAUUUGGUCGGGAUGCGAGUCCCGGAUCAUAUUCACGCUUGUGCUGUUUGACAGAGUAAUGAUAUAUGAAUUAUGACAACUUUUAACAAUGGAUCUCUUGGCUCUU
This 278-nucleotide unclassified non-coding RNA is filed under the name rhizosphere metagenome. RNAcentral's name for it is "partial ribosomal RNA internal transcribed spacer region". The record is from RNAcentral.